This 199-nucleotide ribosomal RNA is filed under the name uncultured bacterium. RNAcentral describes it as "partial 16S ribosomal RNA". It matches the Rfam family "Bacterial small subunit ribosomal RNA", at positions 328 to 539 of the family's 1533-position model. The record is from RNAcentral.
ACGCUCGACACCUACGGGAGGCAGCAGUCGGGAAUAUUGCGCAAUGGAGGAAACUCUGACGCAGUGACGCCGCGUGCAGGAAGAAGGUUUUCGGAUUGUAAACUGCUUUAGACAGGGAAGAAAAAAGACAGUACCUGUAGAAUAAGCUCCGGCUAACUACGUGCUAGCAGCCGCGGUAAUCUGAGCGGGCUGGCAAGGC